UACGGAGGGUUAGCGUUGUUCGGAAUUACUGGGCGUAAAGCGCGCGUAGGCGGACAUUUAAGUCAGAGGUGAAAUUCCAGGGCUCAACCCUGGAACUGCCUUUGAUACUGGGUGCCUUGAGUUCGAGAGAGGUGAGUGGAAUUCCGAGUGUAGAGGUGAAAUUCGUAGAUAUUCGGAGGAACACCAGUGGCGAAGGCGGCUCACUGGCUCGAUACUGACGCUGAGGUGCGAAAGUGUGGGGAGCAAACAGG
This 251-nucleotide ribosomal RNA is filed under the name uncultured bacterium. RNAcentral's name for it is "partial 16S ribosomal RNA". It matches the Rfam family "Bacterial small subunit ribosomal RNA", at positions 524 to 776 of the family's 1533-position model. The record is from RNAcentral.